Odocoileus virginianus texanus is the source of this 340-nucleotide non-coding RNA. NCBI's taxonomy places the organism in Eukaryota, Metazoa, Chordata, Mammalia, Artiodactyla, Cervidae. The record is from RefSeq and is a predicted model, not a curated record.
CUGGCAGGCAGAGAAUGGCUUAUCAGGGUUCAACAUGGUUCCAGUUCCAUCAUUUCAAGCCACGGAUAUUUUGGUGGAAGCACUUGAGAGGCAACAUACUGUAAGACUCACUGGGGCAAGGACCAGUGUCUCUUCUGGAAUAAAGCACCAGAAAAGCAGCUGCUCAGAAAGUGUAUGCUGACUUCUGUGGGCUCUCAAAUGAUGAAUCAUGUUCCUGAUGAAACAUGUGGAAGGAAGGAUGGAAGAUGUGGAAGGAGAGGAAGAAUACAGGAAGAAGAAAGAAAUCAUGAAAGUGAGAAACUAGAAGAACAGGUAAGAAAUUAUAUAAGCCGAUACCUCG